Molecule: ribosomal RNA, 293 nt
Filed under: Fusarium solani
Lineage: Eukaryota; Fungi; Ascomycota; Sordariomycetes; Hypocreales; Nectriaceae
Description: partial 28S ribosomal RNA
Rfam family: Eukaryotic large subunit ribosomal RNA
Source: RNAcentral
UCUAUACGAAUGCAAGCACUUUGAAAAGAAUUAAAAAGUACGUGAAAUUGUUGAAAGGGAAGCGUUUAUGACCAGACUUGGGCUUGGUUAAUCAUCUGGGGUUCUCCCCAGUGCACUUUUCCAGUCCAGGCCAGCAUCAGUUUUCGCCGGGGGAUAAAGGCUUCGGGAAUGUGGCUCCCUCCGGGGAGUGUUAUAGCCCGUUGCGUAAUACCCUGGCGGGGACUGAGGUUCGCGCUUCUGCAAGGAUGCUGGCGUAAUGGUCAUCAACGACCCGUCUUGAAACACGGACCAAG